Molecule: ribosomal RNA, 450 nt
Filed under: uncultured bacterium
Lineage: Bacteria
Description: bacterial SSU rRNA
Rfam family: Bacterial small subunit ribosomal RNA
Source: RNAcentral
GUGGGGAAUAUUGGACAAUGGGCGAAAGCCUGAUCCAGCCAUGCCGCGUGUGUGAAGAAGGUCUUCGGAUUGUAAAGCACUUUAAGUUGGGAGGAAGGGCAGUAAGUUAAUACCUUGCUGUUUUGACGUUACCGACAGAAUAAGCACCGGCUAACUUCGUGCCAGCAGCCGCGGUAAUACGUAGGGUGCAAGCGUUAAUCGGAAUUACUGGGCGUAAAGCGCGCGUAGGUGGUUUUGUAAGUUGGAGGUGAAAUCCCCGGGCUCAACCUGGGAACUGCCUCCAAAACUACUGAGCUAGAGUACGGUAGAGGGUAGUGGAAUUUCCUGUGUAGCGGUGAAAUGCGUAGAUAUAGGAAGGAACACCAGUGGCGAAGGCGACUACCUGGACUGAUACUGACACUGAGGUGCGAAAGCGUGGGGAGCAAACAGGAUUAGAAACCCGUGUAGUCC